CAGUAGCCGCGGUAAAACGGAGGGGGCUAGCGUUGUUCGGAAUUACUGGGCGUAAAGCGCACGUAGGCGGCUUGGUAAGUUAGAGGUGAAAGCCCAGGGCUCAACCCUGGAAUUGCCUUUAAGACUGCCGAGCUAGUAGGUGAGAGAGGUAAGUGGAAUUCCGAGUGUAGAGGUGAAAUUCGUAGAUAUUCGGAAGAACACCAGUGGCGAAGGCGGCUUACUGGCUCAUUCUAGACGCUGAGGUGCGAAAGCGUGGGGAGCAAACAGGAUUAGAGACCCGCGUAGUCCCUGUCUCUUAGAA
RNAcentral lists this ribosomal RNA (301 nucleotides) under uncultured bacterium. RNAcentral describes it as "partial 16S ribosomal RNA". It matches the Rfam family "Bacterial small subunit ribosomal RNA", at positions 509 to 809 of the family's 1533-position model. The record is from RNAcentral.